RNAcentral lists this ribosomal RNA (462 nucleotides) under Candida albicans. Its description in RNAcentral is "eukaryotic LSU rRNA". The stretch from base 112 to 265 matches the Rfam family "5.8S ribosomal RNA". The record is from RNAcentral. Lineage: Eukaryota; Fungi; Ascomycota; Pichiomycetes; Serinales; Debaryomycetaceae.
UUUUCUUUGAAACAAACUUGCUUUGGCGGUGGGCCCAGCCUGCCGCCAGAGGUCUAAACUUACAACCAAUUUUUUAUCAACUUGUCACACCAGAUUAUUACUAAUAGUCAAAACUUUCAACAACGGAUCUCUUGGUUCUCGCAUCGAUGAAGAACGCAGCGAAAUGCGAUACGUAAUAUGAAUUGCAGAUAUUCGUGAAUCAUCGAAUCUUUGAACGCACAUUGCGCCCUCUGGUAUUCCGGAGGGCAUGCCUGUUUGAGCGUCGUUUCUCCCUCAAACCGCUGGGUUUGGUGUUGAGCAAUACGACUUGGGUUUGCUUGAAAGACGGUAGUGGUAAGGCGGGAUCGCUUUGACAAUGGCUUAGGUCUAACCAAAAACAUUGCUUGCGGCGGUAACGUCCACCACGUAUAUCUUCAAACUUUGACCUCAAAUCAGGUAGGACUACCCGCUGAACUUAAGCAU